CAGUAGCCGCGGUAAUACCGAGGGUGCAAGCGUUAAUCGGAAUUACUGGGCGUAAAGCGCGCGUAGGUGGUUUGUUAAGUUGGAUGUGAAAGCCCCGGGCUCAACCUGGGAACUGCAUCCAAAACUGGCAAGCUAGAGUACGGUAGAGGGUGGUGGAAUUUCCUGUGUAGCGGUGAAAUGCGUAGAUAUAGGAAGGAACACCAGUGGCGAAGGCGACCACCUGGACUGAUACUGACACUGAGGUGCGAAAGCGUGGGGAGCAAACAGGAUUAGAUACCCGAGUAGUCCCUGUCUCUUAUAC
Molecule: ribosomal RNA, 301 nt
Filed under: uncultured bacterium
Lineage: Bacteria
Description: partial 16S ribosomal RNA
Rfam family: Bacterial small subunit ribosomal RNA
Source: RNAcentral